UUUUUUCCCUUUUUCUUCUCCUCUUUUGAAUGGAGAUUGAAAUGCCUCCUACAUGCGCACUAAAUGGGAUCAAAUGAAAGAAAACAGAAGGCAGCAAGUGAAGCAAGCACUAGGAAAGACAAAAAGCCAGCUACAACAACCACAGCAACUCAAAAACUAUUUUGUGUUUUCAAAUGAAAAUCUAACAAAACCAUCUGCUUCCUCGUGGGCCCUACCACUGAAGCACUCACCCCAUUAUAGCCCACCAAGAAACAACUCUCUCUCCCUCUUCCCCCAUCAACUUUUCCACCAAAGGCAACUCUCUUUCUUUCUCUUUUUCUUUUGCUUUCUUUCUCCCAAACUGCCCAUACGUUUUUACAGAAACAGAGGAAAACGAAGUGGCUCUGUUUUUUGAAAGUGUUUUCUCUAAAGUCUGUACCACUCAAACAAGAGUGAAUAAGUUUGGUCUUUGCUGAUGGGAUUUUGGUGAGAGAAUCAGUUUUCUUUUCUCUUUUUAAAGAUUUUGAUAUAAUGGGAAAUUGUUGGUGUAAAUGGGAGCCUUCAGUUUACAUAGUUUCAUCAAAUCCAAAGUCAGGUUUGUGUCCUUUAAAAGCUCUGUUUUCUCCCCACUUGUUCAAUAAUUCUAUGUAUCUAGAAUAAAAUUGUAAUUUAAUCCUGAAAAUGAGUUAGAUGAUCAUGAUAUAUGUCAUAAUUAAAAUCAGUUUCUCACAUGCAAACUGUAAUUCCACUUAACAUACGCUCUGUUUUUUUCUGCCCUUCCUUUUUUUUUUU
This 771-nucleotide long non-coding RNA is filed under the name Citrus sinensis (sweet orange). RNAcentral's name for it is "long non-coding RNA (CSIN_LNC005721)". Lineage: Eukaryota; Viridiplantae; Streptophyta; Magnoliopsida; Sapindales; Rutaceae. The record is from RNAcentral.